UCAGCCGAAUUGCCCGGAAUUUCUGGGAACCCUGGAAUGUCGGGGAUGGAUUGCAUCCCGCCGGCCGGAGCUGCCCCCGCUGACCCCCACCUGCUCAUCUGAAUCUUCUUCAGCAUCAUGGGAAGAUCACAGGUGUCACCUUGGCCUUCUGCAAUUGCUGCCACGUGACUGCUGCUGCUGACAUAGCUUUGGGGAUUUCCACGCACUGGGUAGAGGAGAAAGGAGAGGAAAGAUGGGACUGGGGAAGGGGUGGAUUUUUGCAACAAGUUUGCCGCAUGCUUAGCCACAUAUUUGGAGGAGGCCUGAUAGUGUUCCAUUAUUUUUUUUUUGCAUGACUUGGAGGGCUGCAGCCCAAGUGUCCCAAAAGUGAGUUGAAAAAUCCAGAAAAGUGGGGAUGCUUCUCCUCCCCGGCAACCCUGGCCAUUCUCAUCCAGAAGGCAUUUUCUGCCGCAGAGGACCCAGAUCCUCUAAGCUGGCUUUCCUGUGGCUGUUGUCAUGCAUUCUCGAGUUGCCACUGACUCCUGGCAAACGCCCUCCAGGCUGUCCUGUUUCUAGCCACGAUGCCGCGAUCUUGCAGGCGAGUUGGGUUUGCGGUCUAGCAAACCGAAGGCCAGCUCCCCCAUCAGUGAGUGGUUAUGGAACCAGGUUGUAAAGACUUGGUCCUCCCCGUCGGUAUGUUUGCUUUGCCUGCAUUAACCCUGUAAGCCAUCAUGUAUUCAGAAGAUUCUCUGUUCAAAUGAAUAAAUCUGUGCGCAAAGUG
This is a long non-coding RNA of Candoia aspera, 760 nucleotides long. RefSeq lists it as uncharacterized. NCBI's taxonomy places the organism in Eukaryota, Metazoa, Chordata, Lepidosauria, Squamata, Candoiidae. The record is from RefSeq and is a predicted model, not a curated record. The transcript has 2 exons.